GAGGCACCGGAGCUGUCGCUGACCUUAUAAAAGUCGUGCACGCCCCAAAGGUGUCCUCACAUACAUCCAUCUCACCUUUGUGCAUCACCGCGUAAGCUCCGUACCCAACGGGCUUGCGUUCUUUUUCACAAACACGUCAUGUGUAGAAUGUUUCUUUUUGCGAUUUAGUACGCAAUCUAUACAACUUUCAGCAACGGAUCUCUUGGCUCUCGCAUCGAUGAAGAACGCAGCGAAAUGCGAUACGUAAUGUGAAUUGCAGAAUUCAGUGAAUCAUCGAAUCUUUGAACGCACCUUGCGCCCCUUGGCAUUCCGAGGGGCACACCCGUUUGAGUGUCGUGAAAUCCUCAACCUUCACCCUUUCUUUGAUCGGAGGAAGGCUUGGACUUUGGAGGCUACUGCUGGUCUCUUUCACUUGAAGCCAGCUCCUCUUAAACAGAUUAGCAGGGUCCCUUUUUGCCGAUCCUUGGACGUGAUAAGCCACUUCUACGUCCCUAGGUUUUGGUCUUGCCUUGCUCUUAGUCGCCGUUUUUCGGGGGGGACUUUUAAACUCACGUGAAACCUUGACCUCAAAUCGGGUGAGACUACCCGCUGAACUUAAGCAUAUCAAUAAGCGGAGG
This 617-nucleotide ribosomal RNA is filed under the name Lactifluus sp. G3185. Its description in RNAcentral is "eukaryotic LSU rRNA". The stretch from base 183 to 336 matches the Rfam family "5.8S ribosomal RNA". Lineage: Eukaryota; Fungi; Basidiomycota; Agaricomycetes; Russulales; Russulaceae. The record is from RNAcentral.